Molecule: ribosomal RNA, 245 nt
Filed under: uncultured Oscillospiraceae bacterium
Lineage: Bacteria; Bacillati; Bacillota; Clostridia; Eubacteriales; Oscillospiraceae
Description: partial 16S ribosomal RNA
Rfam family: Bacterial small subunit ribosomal RNA
Source: RNAcentral
UACGUAGGUGGCAAGCGUUGUCCGGAAUUACUGGGCGUAAAGGGCGUGUAGGCGGGUGAGCAAGUCAGAUGUGAAAUUCCAGGGCUUAACUCUGGCGCUGCAUCUGAAACUGUUCAUCUUGAGUGCUGGAGAGGAAAGUGGAAUUCCCAGUGUAGCGGUGAAAUGCGUAGAGAUUGGGAGGAACACCAGUGGCGAAGGCGGCUUUCUGGACAGUAACUGACGCUGAGGCGCGAAAGCGUGGGGAG